GGGGGAUUAGCUCAGUUGAGAGUCCGUAUGCCUUACAGGCAAUGAGUCACAGGUUCGAGCCCUGUAUCCUCCA
RNAcentral lists this transfer RNA (73 nucleotides) under Lactiplantibacillus plantarum. Its description in RNAcentral is "Lactobacillus plantarum tRNA-Val". It matches the Rfam family "tRNA". From Rfam's summary of the family: Transfer RNA (tRNA) molecules are approximately 80 nucleotides in length. Their secondary structure includes four short double-helical elements and three loops (D, anti-codon, and T loops). Lineage: Bacteria; Bacillati; Bacillota; Bacilli; Lactobacillales; Lactobacillaceae. The record is from RNAcentral.